CGUCUCCAGGCCAGCGGUUGAAACGAAUUGGUCACGCACUUAAAGGCUCAUGGAAGGAUGGAUAAUGAAAGAACCUCUCAAUUUCUACAGACUUCAAAAAUGGAAAUAUAACAUAGAUACGGAGAAGUCCACAAAUCACAAGGUUUUUCCCCAGGGCAAGCAUACCGUCAUGAUCUUGCAAAGGGAAGGAUCAUUUCAAAAUCCAUACGAGAGUGGAAGUGUUAGGAUUGAGUGGAAGUGUUAGGAUUGCUCCUUCUUUCCGUGUCUCUGGAAUAUCACCUUUAGACUCCAAACCACCCAGGCAUGAGAUUCCUGAAGGCACAGACAGAAUCUGUUCCCCUGCAAACCGCACGAGGGACCCCAGGCCAGAAUCAUCCAGCUGACCUCCCGAACUCCUGACCCACAGAAACUGUGUGAGAUAAAAUAAUAUUUACUGUU
Long non-coding RNA from Herpailurus yagouaroundi (jaguarundi), 438 nucleotides. RefSeq lists it as uncharacterized. The record is from RefSeq and is a predicted model, not a curated record. NCBI's taxonomy places the organism in Eukaryota, Metazoa, Chordata, Mammalia, Carnivora, Felidae. The transcript has 2 exons.